UACGUAGGGUGCGAGCGUUGUCCGGAAUUACUGGGCGUAAAGAGCUCGUAGGUGGUUUGUCGCGUUGUUCGUGAAAACUCACAGCUUAACUGUGGGCGUGCGGGCGAUACGGGCAGACUGGAGUACUGCAGGGGAGACUGGAAUUCCUGGUGUAGCGGUGGAAUGCGCAGAUAUCAGGAGGAACACCGGUGGCGAAGGCGGCUAUCUGGACAGAGUCUGACGCUGAGGCGCGAAAGCUAGGGGAGCAAACAGG
RNAcentral lists this ribosomal RNA (253 nucleotides) under uncultured bacterium. Its description in RNAcentral is "partial 16S ribosomal RNA". It matches the Rfam family "Bacterial small subunit ribosomal RNA", at positions 524 to 776 of the family's 1533-position model. The record is from RNAcentral.